AGAGUUUGAUCAUGGCUCAGGAUGAACGCUGGCGGUAUGCUUAACACAUGCAAGUCGAACGGAAUGCUUAGGCAUUUAGUGGCGGACGGGUGAGUAACGCGUGAGAAUCUGGCUUUAGGUCUGGGACAACCACGGGAAACGGUGGCUAAUACCGGAUGUGCCGAAAGGUGAAAGGCUUGCUGCCUAAAGAUGAGCUCGCGUCUGAUUAGCUAGUAGGUGGGGUAAAAGCCUACCUAGGCGACGAUCAGUAGCUGGUCUGAGAGGAUGAUCAGCCACACUGGGACUGAGACACGGCCCAGACUCCUACGGGAGGCAGCAGUGGGGAAUUUUCCGCAAUGGGCGAAAGCCUGACGGAGCAAUACCGCGUGAGGGAGGAAGGCUCUUGGGUUGUAAACCUCUUUUCUCAAGGAAGAAAAAAAUGACGGUACUUGAGGAAUAAGCAUCGGCUAACUCCGUGCCAGCCGCCGCGGUAAUUC
This 476-nucleotide ribosomal RNA is filed under the name uncultured bacterium. Its description in RNAcentral is "bacterial SSU rRNA". It matches the Rfam family "Bacterial small subunit ribosomal RNA", at positions 8 to 526 of the family's 1533-position model. The record is from RNAcentral.